UAAUAAAGUUUAGUUUUGUGUGGUAGUAUUAAAAGAAUCAAAAUAAAUUAAAAAUUUUUAGUAAAUAGGGAAAUAAAUAAGAAGAUAGAAAAAGUACUGUAAAGGAGUAAUAAUAUUAAUAGUGGAAAAACGAAGUUUUUUUUACCUUUUGUCUCAGGGUUAGUUAACUAAAAUUUUUAAAUUUAAAAUUUCUCGAAGUUUAAUGAUUUAAUAUAGAAUAAAAGUUAAUGUAAAAUUAAUUAUUUUUAAUUCUAUAUUGGGGGAGAAAUUCUAUUCAAGUUAAAUGAUAUCUAGUUUCUUUGGAAAUAAAUUUAAUUUAUUUAACAGAUUAAUAUAAUAAAAUAAGUUAAAAAUUUUUCUGGUUAAAUCUAUUAUUUGGGAUAAGCUAAAUAAUAAUAUAAUAAUUAUUAGAUGUAUUAAGAAAAUGAGGGUAUUAGGACUAAGAGUCUCUGAUAUUAUAAUAAUUUUAAUAAAUUUAAAAAUAUUGAUUUAUAAGGGAUUUUAUAAUUUACAGAGAAAAUUUCAUAAAUUAAAAACGAAGUAUUAUUAUGAUUAAAUUAGUAAAUAAAUAACAUAGAAUCAUUGAAUCUUAAUAAAAUUAUUUUAAUGAAUUCGGCAAAAAUUUUCUUAACUGUUUAACAAAAACAUUUCUUGGAGAAGGUAAAUUUUUCAGGUAAGUUCUGCUCUAUGAUAAUUUAAAUGGCUGUUUUUACACUAAGGUAGCAUAAUAGAUUGGCUUUUAAAUAAGGUCUGGAAUAAAUGAAUAAAUAAAGGGAAUACUUUAUUAGAAUAAAAUUAUUGAAAUUAGACUUUAAGUAAAAAUACUUAAGUGAAUUAGUGGGACGAGAAGACCCUAUAGAAUUUUAUAAUUCUUAGGUUAUAUAUUAUAUAAAAUUAAUAUGUUGUUUAAGAUUUAAUUAACUGGGGAAGUUGAUAUAUUAAAAUAAUUAUAUUAAUAUAUAAAUACUAAUGAGUAGGAAUAAAAAUAUGGAGAUUUUAUUGAUUUAAUAUAAAUUACCUUAGGGAUAACAGCGUAAUAUAUUCGGAUAGUUCAAAUUGAAGGAAAUGAUUGCGACCUCGAUGUUGAAUUAUGGAAAACUUAUGUGCAGGAGCAUAAAUGAUUUGGUCUGUUCGACCAUUAAACCCAUACAUGAUUUGAGUUAAGAUCGACGUGAGUCAGAUUGGUUUCUAUCUACUAAAAAAAAAGGUAUAGAUUUGUACGAAAGGACUGUUUAUACUAAUUUAAAUUAUAAUUAAUAUGAUUGAAAUUAAUUAUAUAAAAA
This 1283-nucleotide ribosomal RNA is filed under the name Mutilla europaea. Its description in RNAcentral is "large subunit ribosomal RNA". The stretch from base 1025 to 1183 matches the Rfam family "Archaeal large subunit ribosomal RNA", at positions 2544 to 2703 of the family's 2987-position model. Lineage: Eukaryota; Metazoa; Arthropoda; Insecta; Hymenoptera; Mutillidae. The record is from RNAcentral.